CCCAAGUGUAAAUCAAAACUCUAAUUGUCCUUUGCUAAGGGCCCCAGUCUGAAGUGACUGCCUCCCAGGAGAAGUUCUGCUCAUAUACAUAUAAACACACCCACAUAUCUCCCUACCUCACGGACCAUUUUUUCAUGAUGGUGUGGGCCCCUUUCAGUAAAUUUAGGAUUAGAUGUAAAUCUAUAUGGUCCUCUCAUCUCCUAAUAUUGAUUUCCUAACUGUCAAAAUUGAGGCAUUUCCAAAUGCUUCCAGGAGACUGUGUACAGCUGUACAUUGGUAGAGGUAUUUAAUCACAAUUUAAACAGUUCUAUGAGAAAAAUAUUUUUUUCAUCACCUCUUGUGUCAGAUGCGCAGUCUGUGUCUAUUUCCAACCCUGUGUUUACCUUCAUCUCCGAGUGGUUUUUCUUUGUGUGCUGUGUUCUCGUGGGCAGCAAUCCUGAGCCUCUUAUGGUCUGGUAAAACUGGAGGUAGGAAUUGUAGUGACUGAUAUCAAAUAUGGGGUCAUGUCCUUCUAGAAUCUCUCUCAGUGGAACAUAGAUAUCAACACUUUUUACAUGUUGCAAGUGAUUAUAAUAUACAGCCAAUGUUGAGUACCAUUGCCUUAGGGGCUGAUCCAAGUGAAACACAAGGAAAACAUUCCUGACAUCUACUGACAACUCACAUUUGUAUAAGAUAUGACAGCUUGAAAAAAAGAUUCUAGCUGCAUUAUCCCAUAUUUUUUCUACAACCACCUUAGAAAUUAUUAUCACUCUUCAUCUUUCAGACACAGAAAUUGACUUGAAACUCAAUAACACUACCAUAUUGUAACUACCAUAUCCCCCGACACUUCAUCAAUCUGAGAUAGGUUACUGGAUGUUCACAUUCAGUCAAUAUUUAGGACUUGCAGAAAUGAUAGAAGAAU
RNAcentral lists this long non-coding RNA (901 nucleotides) under Capra hircus (goat). RNAcentral's name for it is "lncRNA (ENSCHIG00010013490.1)". Lineage: Eukaryota; Metazoa; Chordata; Mammalia; Artiodactyla; Bovidae. The record is from RNAcentral.